RNAcentral lists this RNase P RNA (267 nucleotides) under Klebsiella pneumoniae. RNAcentral's name for it is "RNase P RNA component class A". It matches the Rfam family "Bacterial RNase P class A". Rfam says of the family: Ribonuclease P (RNase P) is a ubiquitous endoribonuclease, found in archaea, bacteria and eukarya as well as chloroplasts and mitochondria. The record is from RNAcentral. Lineage: Bacteria; Pseudomonadati; Pseudomonadota; Gammaproteobacteria; Enterobacterales; Enterobacteriaceae.
GAAGCUGACCAGACAGUCGCCGCUUCGUCGUCGUCCUCCUUCGGGGGGAGACGGGCGGAGGGGAGGAAAGUCCGGGCUCCAUAGGGCAAGGUGCCAGGUAACGCCUGGGGGGUGUCACAGCCCACGACCAGUGCAACAGAGAGCAAACCGCCGAUGGCCCGCGCAAGCCGUACUGAACCCGGGUAGGCUGCUUGAGCCAGUGAGCGAUUGCUGGCCUAGAUGAAUGACUGUCCACGACAGAACCCGGCUUAUCGGUCAGUUUCACCU